This 385-nucleotide ribosomal RNA is filed under the name uncultured bacterium. Its description in RNAcentral is "bacterial SSU rRNA". It matches the Rfam family "Bacterial small subunit ribosomal RNA", at positions 975 to 1363 of the family's 1533-position model. The record is from RNAcentral.
CAAGGCUUGACAUAUAGGGAAAAGUGGCAGAGAUGUCAUGUCCGCAAGGGCUCUAUACAGGUGGUGCAUGGUUGUCGUCAGCUCGUGUCGUGAGAUGUUGGGUUAAGUCCCGCAACGAGCGCAACCCUCGUUCUGUGUUGCCAGCAUUUAGUUGGGGACUCACAGGAGACUGCCGGGGUUAACUCGGAGGAAGGUGGGGAUGACGUCAAAUCAUCAUGCCCCUUAUGUCUUGGGCUGCACGCAUGCUACAAUGGCCGGUACAGAGGGCUGCAAUACCGUAAGGUGGAGCGAAUCCCAAAAAGCCGGUCUCAGUUCGGAUUGAGGUCUGCAACUCGACCUCAUGAAGUUGGAGUUGCUAGUAAUCGUAGAUCAGCAACGCUACGGG